This 1719-nucleotide unclassified non-coding RNA is filed under the name Venturia canescens. RNAcentral's name for it is "uncharacterized LOC122416998, transcript variant X1". The record is from RNAcentral. Lineage: Eukaryota; Metazoa; Arthropoda; Insecta; Hymenoptera; Ichneumonidae.
CGAGCGUAUCUAGAUGGCACGUUUUUCGCUCCAGAUCUGGAUAAGUUGUCGUUUGAUGGAACGGUCUGGGGCAUUUGCCAAAUUUGCAAAAAAGAAAACAAUAAAGAUCAUAGCAUCAGCGGUACCUUGAAAUCUUCAUCAAAUUACGUGAGACACUUAAAGAAUGUACACAAAAGAGCAUUCCAAGAAUAUGAGGAUUAUGCCAAACAGAAAAACAAAAAACUGAAAACAGAUAACGAUGAAGAUAAGUAUAAAACUUUUUGUUCAUUUUCUCAAGCCCGCUUCGACAAUAACGUUGUGAACUAUCUUUUAGAAAGUAUGUCACCACUGAAUACAGUCGAGUCACCAGCAUUCAGGAAAAUAUUUGAUGAUAUGAAGAUUAAGCACCAUGGAAAGGAGCUUCAGCAUUUGUCUGCUCGUACCGUUGGCCGACGGAUAGAACAAACAUUUUUGAAAACCGUUGCCGAUAUUUCCGCUGAAUUGGCAAACGUCUCAUUUGUCUGUACGACUGCUGACACUUGGUCAUCUCGUCAUCGACGAUUCGUUGGCAUGACUGUUCAUUGGAUUGACGAGCUGACUAUGGAACGUAAAUCGUACGCAAUAGCAUGUAGGCGGCUCAAAGGUGAUCAUUCGUACGAUAGAAUAGCAGAAAGCAUCAAAGAUAUUCAUGCGUCGUAUGGAUUAUCCGAAACCCAAGUAUUUGCAACUGUAACCGAUAACGGUUCAAAUUUUGUAAAAGCUUUUCGCGAAUUCGGGCUCCAAUCUGGCGAUUAUUUUUUCGAAGGUGAAACCGUAGAUAAUGAUAAGAAUGCAAGCAAUGCAAUCGUUGAAAGUGAAUCCGAAGAUGAUUCAGACCAUGCGGAAAUGGAGUUGUUUGAUGAUUGCAAUGAUUCGAUUCCCGUGCUUCCUCAGCAUUUUCGUUGUGCCAGCCACACGCUUAAUGUCAUUGCGACGACUGACAUGCUUGCUGGUAUCAAGAUGAGCAAAACUUUGAAACAAUCAUUUGAUGAGAUGAUCGCUAGAUGUAGUAGUUUGUGGAAUUUGCAAAAAUCUCCAAAAAAAACCGAAAAACUAUGCUCCGCGAUUGGUCAACCCUUGAAAAGGCCUGUAGUGACCCGCUGGAAUUCACUGUACGACGCUCUCAAACAAAUCCAGAGUUUGAAAGAGGCUAUUUUGCAACACAGCAAUGAAUUGGACAUCACAAAUCCACUGAGGGACACUGAUUUCAGAUUCAUGGAAGAGUACAUUAGCUGUAACAAGCCUGUGGCCGAAGGUCUUGAUAUAUUGGUAUGGAAAAGAGCAAUCUUCAAUGGUGCAACCCUUUAGUUGGUACACUACUUAGAGGUUUGAACCGUCGUUUCCAAAAACAAUUCGAUGUGGAAGAAGAAGGACGUGUCAGUGCAGUAGCUGCUGCGACACAUCCUCUCUUCAAACUGAAAUGGCUGAAGUGCUUGAACGCUGAUGCGCAAGGAUAACGAUUUCUUCGACUUUUCAUGUGCCACUGAAUCCGGUAAUAAUGACACCAUCCAUGUUUUCGGGGCUGAGGCCGGAGAAGCAGUAUUUCAACGAUUUGCCUUCGAGAAAAAAACUGAUUUGCAACUUUUGAAUACAUAUCCGUCUGUAAAAAAGAGGUUCCUCAAGUUCAAUACGCCUCUUCCAUCAUCAGCUGCUGUUGAAAGAUUAUUCAGCUAUGCAACGAUGUUCAAUUUACCGAAAUAU